CUUGAGGGAACCCAGCCACAGCGGCCGGUCGUCCGGCCGGUCCUGCCCGUACGUGGCCAGCAGCGCCUGCGCCUC
This 75-nucleotide antisense RNA is filed under the name Streptomyces lavendulae subsp. lavendulae. Its description in RNAcentral is "ASpks TB sRNA". It matches the Rfam family "ASpks TB sRNA". The record is from Rfam by way of RNAcentral. Lineage: Bacteria; Bacillati; Actinomycetota; Actinomycetes; Kitasatosporales; Streptomycetaceae.